GACGAACGCUGGCGGCGUGCUUAACACAUGCAAGUCGAACGGAAAGGCCCUGCUUUUGUGGUGUGCUCGAGUGGCGAACGGGUGAGUAACACGUGAGUAACCUGCCCUUGACUUUGGGAUAACUUCAGGAAACUGGGGCUACUACCGGAUAGGAGCUCCUGCUGCAUGGUGGGGGUUGGAAAGUUUCGGCGGUUGGGGAUGGACUCGCGGCUUAUCAGCUUGUUGGUGGGGUAGUGGCUGACCAAGGCAUUGACGGGUAGCCGGCCUGAGAGGGUGACCGGCCACAUUGGUACUGAGGGACGGCCCAGACUCCUACGGGAGGCAGCAGUGGGGAGUAUUGCACAAUGGGCGGAAGCCUGAUGCAGCAACGCCGCGUGCGGGAUGACGGCCUUCGGGUUGUAAACCGCUUUCGCCUGUGACGAAGCGUGAGUGACGGUAAUGGGUAAAGAAGCACCGGCUAACUACGUG
Molecule: ribosomal RNA, 468 nt
Filed under: uncultured bacterium
Lineage: Bacteria
Description: partial 16S ribosomal RNA
Rfam family: Bacterial small subunit ribosomal RNA
Source: RNAcentral